This 216-nucleotide long non-coding RNA is filed under the name Mytilus galloprovincialis (Mediterranean mussel). Lineage: Eukaryota; Metazoa; Mollusca; Bivalvia; Mytilida; Mytilidae. The record is from RNAcentral.
CUUUGGUUACAUCUUCUGACAUCAGACUCGGACUUCUCUUGAACUGAAUUUUAAUGUGCGUAUUGUUGUGCGUUUACUUUUCUACAUUGGCUAGAGGUAUAGGUGGAGGGUUGAGAUCUCACAAACAUGUUUAACCCCGCCGCAUUUUUGCGCCUGUCCCAAGUCAGGAGCCUCUGGCCUUUGUUAGUCUUGUAUUAUUUUAAUUUUAGUUUCUUG